RNAcentral lists this small RNA (35 nucleotides) under Arabidopsis thaliana (thale cress). Its description in RNAcentral is "ATSL216550". The record is from RNAcentral. Lineage: Eukaryota; Viridiplantae; Streptophyta; Magnoliopsida; Brassicales; Brassicaceae.
UGCAGUGCUUCUUCUUCUUCUUCUUCGUCGGAGUU